Molecule: long non-coding RNA, 3714 nt
Organism: Homo sapiens (human)
Lineage: Eukaryota; Metazoa; Chordata; Mammalia; Primates; Hominidae
Source: Ensembl
GUGACCCGAUAAUAGUGAGUUACCCCUUGUGAACCUUAACUGGGGCAUCUGCAACAUGGGCAUAUUGAUACAUACCUGGCUGAACUGUUGUGGGAAGAAAAUGUAUAAUGCUUAAACCUAUGUGAAGUGUCUAACAUGUAAUGCUACAACAAAUAUAUGUAUUGGCUUUCCCUGUGUUUUCUCUUCCACAAAAGACGUAGUUUACAUGAACAUCUCCUAGAGGUCAAUUAGAGUUGAAGCAGCAGGAAAUAAAAUGUUUACAUAUUUCUAUGAGAGAAAAGCUUUUCUGUCUUUUCUUUGUAGAAGUUACCUGAUGCAUGGAGUGGAGGAGAAAGAAAAUAAUUUCAUUAUUUUUUAUUUGAUGUCCUUUUCUAACAUCUUCAUUUACCUUCUAUUUGGACAUUGGAAUAGCAACCUCUCAUUGAGCCUCAGAAAGGAGACAGCACAGAAUGACAGACCAUGAAGAUGGGUCUGCUGGGAAACAGAUGAUAUCAGGAGAGCUGGGUCCCAAAUACCAGAUCUGUCCUUAUGUACAGAACCAUGGGGAGUCACUUCUCUCCUGGCCUCAACCCUUUCACAGGAAAAGAUUUUAUUUCCCAAUAGUGGGGAGGUGUGGCUUUGGAGUCAGAUAGAGUGGGUAGAAUAUUUGGGCACAAUUAAUAACUAGUUUAAUGAUCUUUAGCAAAUGUUAGGUCUGCAGAUAAAUGAAAUCCAUGUGUAAUGCAUAUACAUUAAAUAUGUCUGCAUAGAGAAUCAAAUGGGAGGUAAUUCACAAAAAUGAUACAUUUUAAAAAAUCAGCCGUGGGGUUAUUGAUUAAUUUAUCCUGGAGCUCAUUAUGUUUCCUAAAAUUUCACAUUAGUAGGGAUCUCUUUUGAAUUCAGAAUCAAAUAUAGAAACAGUAGUUUUUAUUAAAUAUUUCAGAAAUACACAAAAUUAUAGAAUAUAAGAAACUUCUAUGUUAACAUAAAACAUAUGCAAUUAAAAUUCACUUUGAAGUGUUCUCUAACUAAUUAGUUUCCUUCUUCCUCACAGGUAACCACUAUGCAAAAUUUGGGGUUUACAUUUUUAAGACAUUUCUCUAUAUUUUUAUUACAUUUGUAUAGAUCUACACAUGAAAUAUGGUAUUUUUAAUGGUAUGAUUUUGUUAACUGAAAUAUCACCAAUUUAUAGAUUUUAAAAAGGAUAGCUUUAUUUCUUAUAAAAGGUUACAGCCUGCAGAGUGGCCAUUCUGAUGGGCUGAGAAUGUAGCCGUUGGAAGAAGCCCAGAAGCAGGCACUUUGAGGGAGUGAGAGGUAAGACAGGAAUUUAAGCUGAAGGGGUUGGACAAAGAUACAUACUCAACACGUUAUAGGAGGAGCUAUGAAUAUUAAUGAAGGGGGUCCUGGCACAUGGGUACUGAACAAACAUGUAUGUUAUACAUAUGGACCAGGUUCACCUUGGGGUGGAGACUUCACAUUUAAAUGUAUUACAAUUAGGCCCUAUACGUUAAAAGAACUUUUCAGAACACAAAGGCACUCAAGUCCUGCCCUCUUUAAACUGGCCAGAACCGGUCCAUGGUUGGUGAUCUUCUAAUCAGAAUAAAGUUACCAAAAUCAGUCUCUUGUCCAAUCAAAACUGUAGCUAUUGCUGGUGGAACAGGGGCUGGGGAUCAGCAUCUAGUGGUGGAUGAGCUGCAAGUUGUUUUAAUAUUGCUUAUCUUGAGGCCAGUACUUGUUUAGCUGCUGGAGAAAAAUGCAAAGGAAAGCUUGUGUCAAUUAGAACACAGUUUAUUCUUUAAGUGUAGAGUGUGUGACUUAACCCUUGCCUGGCAUGGCCUUAGGUCUUAUUUAUAAUUUGAUAUCUUAUUGCCACAAAGAGUCUGUUCUGCCAGUCUUAUGAUCUCUAUUUUAACAUUAAUGCUGGUCAAUUGUCGUAUCUAAACCACAAAAGGGAGGGAGCAUAACAAGUUCUAUCUGACCCCACUUCCUGUCAUGCCCAGGAACUCAGUUUUAAGGAUUUUGGGGGGUCCUCUUGGCCAUGAGGUUUGUUCAGUCGGUUGGGGGGCUUAAGGUUUUACUUUUAAUUUACAUUUUUAUCUCUAAAUGCAUGAAUACCUCAUGGAAUAAGAGGAAGGAAGAAACAUAAGGAGAACAAAUACAUGUUCAGAUUUCAACAGUGGGAUUUGCCAUAUAUGCCUACAUGUCAUGUAUACUCUCUUUCCAACUUGCCAAAACAGACAGGCUCAUUUACCCAGUUUAUAUGCUUAGGGAGCAUUAAUAAAAUCUGCAGAUAUUAUUUUCAAGCCCACUUUUUUUCCUGAUGUAUUCAAACACCUAGAGUUUCCCUGGAGUGAACUAGCCUAAAACAAUGACUUAGUGUAUUCUUUCAUGAAACACCUUCUAUUUGUCCAGACUACUUGUACUUAACUCAAACUGUAACUCAUGUGGGGUUACCCUGUACAUCUGGAACCUAAUCUGGGCCAAGCUGAUGAAAGAAGACAGUGAUUCCCUGCAGUUAGUUUUCAUAUGUCCAAACUACUAUCGAAAUCCCUUGAUUGGUUUAAGGAUGCAUCUCAUUUAGAACCUGAUCUAAUUUUGUUUGACGGUUGUUAUGACAUGAGUACACUUUUCCAUUUCAUUUAUUAUUUUUUAAUUGCACAAGAAACACACUUCAGAGGUGUUUGAGUUCACAUGUGUUACUUGAUGUUGUGGACAGAGGCCAUAGUGCAGUGGGAUAGUCAGUGGAAAGUGGAGAAUAUUAACAGGGAAUGUAGAAAACUCUUUAUGGAACUUUGAAUGUAAAGAAAAAGAAACCAAGAAAGAGGAGGAGACAAAGAGAGAAAGAAAGAGAGCAAUAAAGAGAGACAGAAGAGAUAUCUCCAUCAUGUGGCUGCAAUGGAUGCUGGUAAGUCCAACGAAUGACAUUUGAAAAUCUUAAAUUACUUGAAACUUGAUCAAGUUUAAAAUUAUUGGGCAGUAGAAAAAUUCAAAAGAAAAAAUAAUGGGAAGGAGCCAUCUCAUCUCAAUUUAACAUUUGAAGUUGCCCAUAUAUUCAUAUCUUUUCUUACCCUCUCAUUUCCACUUUAGAGCUAAUGAGAUGCCUCCACCGGGACAGCAUGAAAUCUGAGCUCAAUAAACAUUUAGUUAUUACCUAACAAAAGAAUAGACAAUUAUGUGUAAAAAAUUCUGCUAACUAUUGGAUUUGUGCCUCUCCAGAAGGCAGCAGGUGGCUGAAAUCCUGGUGUGAUGUGGCUGGAUAAUACAUGGCCUGAGGACUCCUGCAUUGAUGACUGCAGGAUGGGUCCAGAAUUUUCCUAUACAUAAAUUAAAAUACUAAGCAGUCCAGAAGGAGCCAUUAGCAGACAUCACACUUUGCUUACUUUGCUAUCUAUCACUGAGAUCACCAGACCCUUCUUGAUAGAGUUCGAUAAUGGUGGUACCGUGGUGCCCUCUCGUGACAGAAGGCUGAACUACAGCUAGAACAUCGCGAGCAGGAAGGUGGGAGGGAGAGGCUGUGGCCCAAGCCCACCUUACAGAGCUUUCUGGAACUCUGGGUGGCAAAGCGGACAUUCUCAGUAUUCCCAGGGACAUUGAUGGGCUCAAGACAGAAAUCGUUAUCUCUUACUGUGCUGAAAAGAGAGUUCUAUAUCAGAAGAAAAAGGUCAUUUUAAUUUUUAUUCUUUGACCACUGGAAAAUCAGAGACCUAAAUGAGGGAAAAAUGGAUCCAGACUACU